This 125-nucleotide small nuclear RNA is filed under the name Neogale vison (American mink). RNAcentral describes it as "Neovison vison (American mink) U4 spliceosomal RNA (ENSNVIG00000001302.1)". It matches the Rfam family "U4 spliceosomal RNA". From Rfam's summary of the family: U4 small nuclear RNA (U4 snRNA) is a component of the major U2-dependent spliceosome. The structure of U4 snRNA from yeast and human has been reported. U4 snRNA presents a k-turn RNA motif in the 5p-SL related to recognition of Snu13 protein. Lineage: Eukaryota; Metazoa; Chordata; Mammalia; Carnivora; Mustelidae. The record is from Rfam by way of RNAcentral.
AGCUUUGCAUAGUGGCAGGAUCGUAGCCAAUGAGGUUUAUCCGAGGCACAAUUAAUGCUAAUUGAAAACAUUUCCCAAUACCCCGCCAUGACGACUUGAAAUAUAUAUAUAAAAUAUAAAAAUAU